Molecule: long non-coding RNA, 1106 nt
Organism: Talpa occidentalis (Iberian mole)
Lineage: Eukaryota; Metazoa; Chordata; Mammalia; Eulipotyphla; Talpidae
Exons: 7
Source: RefSeq, a predicted model, not a curated record
CCUGCCGCCGCUCGCCGCCUCUUUGUCUGCUCCGGGACUUGGAACAAAAGGGGGAACUCUGAUGAACUCUCCUCUCUCCCCCGGGCGCCCGGGUAUCUCCCUCGCGCAACUUGGCCGCGGCCACUUUCCCCGCUGUCAGGCGUCACCAAAGUGUCCCAGCGCCUCGCAGAUGGCCCCGAGGAAAAUGUCUCUUAAAAGUGCGCCCAAGUGGGACAGAAGGAGGAAUUGUCAUUCUCAGCGUCCAGAAGGCAUCACACCACUGCUGGCGACCCUCCUUGCGCUGACCUUCUUCACACUACAUUGUUCUUACUGGAUCUUUCUAUCAGUGAACACUAUGGAACUAUCAGUACAAGGUGAAAUCAUCCCUGGAUGAAAAGUCAACAAACUUCUUCUUCACUUGGAGUUACUUGAAAAUUAAAAUGUUGGGACUUUUGAGGAUGCCUUGCCUGUGUGGAUUACUAGCAUUUGAUUACUGGGAAUUCUCCGCCUUACACAAGAACGUUUUGCUAUCUGGAAACUCAUGCCCACCUCUUUGACUUCGGAUCAAAAUUGCUUUUCUCACAGUCUGAAUGGGAAAGUUGUACUGGAUUGUACUUCAGAGGUGGGCUGUGGAAAGUCAUGUGACUACAGGAGCCUUCACACCCAGCAUAUUCAGAUUAGCGACUUUCUGGAUGGGGAAGUUUCCAGAUAAAGGUGUGAAUCACGGCGACACAGUGGAAGACCAUGAUUUACUGCAUGGGCCACCUGCUUGUGGAUGACGAUGAAGGGAUGUAUGUGCAAGACCCCAAGAUUUACUUCCUUCCUGUUCCAGUGGGGAUAGCCAAAAGAGUUAUCCCUGUGUUAUCACAGAAUAUACUUCUCAUCGACCUCUGAUCUGUGGAUGGCUGUUUUCUGUUGUCAGUUCUGUUGUCAGGACCAGAUGUCCUCAAAACUAGCAGACUGCAAAAUGAAGUGGCUAUGAUCUGUUGAGUCCAAGUGUGACUGCCAAGAGGCAUCCAGAAAAGCCGGAGAGUCCAAGCAUGCCAGACCUUCCUGUAGCCUGCCACACACACACACAACACCUCAAGGAAAUGAGUGAGGAUCACUGGGAAGGAGGGAGCCAACCA